Molecule: RNA transcript, 1815 nt
Organism: Dermacentor albipictus
Lineage: Eukaryota; Metazoa; Arthropoda; Arachnida; Ixodida; Ixodidae
Gene name: peroxynitrite isomerase THAP4-like
Source: RefSeq, a predicted model, not a curated record
AGCCUCACGCCGUACAACAUAUUGACAACGAUGCACCCGAGGCUGAUAAGGCUGCAGCUUCUUCGUCGAUUGUAUCGGCUGACAGCACGCCAGCAGUAACACGACAGGCUUUGGAUCGCGUGAGUCGCCAUUCCCGGCUUCCUUCUCCCCUCUCCUCUCCUGGAAGUAUGAUAUCCUGCUAUCACCCAGACAAUCGCCUGGUGCGAUGUAGCACGAGCGCAGAUUGAGCGGGGAUAUCUUGCAAGGAACCGAGAAAAGUGAAGCCGUGGAGCGAAUACCGCCAGGAGCGCGAAUUUAGUUGGCGAAGCGAGGGAAGCGAGUGUGGUGGAUUCCGCCAUGCGUUCUUUCGAGAAGACAUCGCGUGUUUCUGGUGAAGUGGUAGUGAGCGAGAAUUGGGACGUGCACAGCGGUUUGCGACUGUUCGAGGAACAAUCAGGAAAAGAUGCCACGCGCAGCCGUGCCGGAGCUUCAUACAAGAGGAGGCUCGUUAACCACCCGGCGCCAAUACAGCUGCUGAAUACUGCGUGAUGUGGUGAAGGGCUGGUCGAGCUGAGGCUGAGGAGCUCCCCUGUAUUCUGAUGCAAGUGGUUGGUCCUGCUCUUUUCUAACUGGCCCACUUUGAGGACGACAGCUUUGAACAAAAGCGCGCCGACGGCUGGAAAAAGCUGAAGCCAAAUGCCGUUCCAAAGCUGUUCCCGCCAAAGGCAUCGUCUCGCAAAAGAAGAGCGCCGAAAGACGUGACAAGAGCAGCAGCAGCGCCGUCUGGCGUAAGUGACGAUUCCGUCGUCGUCGAUGGAGCCGAUCCGGCACCGACGCAGGUGGAGGUGCACCUGCUGUCGUCCUCCAACGGCACGGAUCCGUGUCGGCAAGAGAGCUGCAUCGUGCCACAGCUAGCCAACUCAAGCCGGACGCCCCAGAGCACGACAGUCGAGCAGGAGCUCGCUGAGCCGAACGCUGCGUCAUCCGAUCCUCCGUGUUCUAGCAGCUCCUGCGCCGAAUUGAGACAACAGCUGGCAGACGUGACGACAAGGCACGAUCAACUGCUGGAAGCUUACGUGAUUGCGAAUUCGACCGUUAACGCGCUUAGAAGUAAGGUCGGCGAGUUGGAAGGCACCGUGGAAAUUCUCCGACAUCGCCUUCAGCCUAGCAACGGCGCCCAUUAACAAGUGCCUCCGCGAUAAAACAACCAAAGCGGCCCACUUUGAGGACGACAGCUUUGAACAAAAGCGCGCCGACGGCUGGAAAAAGCUGAAGCCAAAUGCCGUUCCAAAGGUGUUCCCGCCAAAGGCAUCGUCUCGCAAAAGAAGAGCGCCGAAAGAUGUGACAAGAGCAGCAGCAGCGCCGUCUGCCGUAAGUGACGAUUCCGUCGUCGUCGAUGGAGCCGAUCCGGCACCGACGCAGGUGGAGGUGCACCUGCUGCCGUCUUCCAACGGCCCUGAUCUGUCUCGGCAAGAGAGCUGCACCGUGCCACAGCCAGCCAACUCAAGCCGGACGCCCCGGAGCACGACAGUCAAGCAGGAGCUCGCUGCGCAUAACGCUGCGUCAUCCGAUCCUCCGUGUUCUAACGACUCCUGCGCCGAAUUGAGGCAACAUCUGGCAGACGUCACGACAAGGCACGACCAACUGCUGGAAGCUUACGUGGUUGCGAAUUCGAGCGUUAACGCGCUUAGAAGUCGGCGAGUUGGAAAGCACCGUGGAAAUUCUCCGACAGCGCCUUCAGCCUAGCAACGGCGCCCAUUAGCAAGUGGCUCCGUGAUAAAACAACCAAAGGAGUAUGCGUAUUCAAUAAAGCUGGCGCUUGGAUUUUCUGCACAA